Molecule: non-coding RNA, 93 nt
Organism: Cricetulus griseus (Chinese hamster)
Lineage: Eukaryota; Metazoa; Chordata; Mammalia; Rodentia; Cricetidae
Source: Ensembl
CUGGAGGACCAAGAAGGCUGAGUCUGAUGAAGCAAGACUUUGCUGAUACACUCCUCCUACACAAAGGAGUGGAGAAAGCAGCCCUUAUCAGAA